UCUCUGUUAGUAUAUCGGUUAGUACACGCGCCUGUCAUUCAAAUUGACCGCGCGAAAGCGGGGUUCGACUCCCCGACAGAGAG
RNAcentral lists this transfer RNA (83 nucleotides) under Cubamyces sp. BRFM 1775. RNAcentral describes it as "Leiotrametes sp. BRFM 1775 tRNA-Asp". It matches the Rfam family "tRNA". From Rfam's summary of the family: Transfer RNA (tRNA) molecules are approximately 80 nucleotides in length. Their secondary structure includes four short double-helical elements and three loops (D, anti-codon, and T loops). Lineage: Eukaryota; Fungi; Basidiomycota; Agaricomycetes; Polyporales; Polyporaceae. The record is from RNAcentral.